UAACAUCAUCAGCACUAGUGUGGAUGAUGAGAGUAAAAAGAAAGUAUAACUGCAUGGAGACGAUAACUUUAAUGAUUAUUAUCGAAACAGCAUCAAGGUAUUGUCAGGCUGGUGGAGAGAUGACCAGGUUGAUGUUGCCUUGACACGGCUGGAGUGAUGGUGAGGCUAGUGGAGUGAUGCAGCUGGUGGAGCAAAGGAGAGGCUGGUGGUGCUUGCCAUUCCUGUAAGCGGCGGAGUGAUGACGGAGCUGGUUAGUGGGGCUAUUAAUGUAGAUGAAGCAGAUAUGUUGACCUUAGUCCUGGGGAUCUACAUACCUAUAGAAGCUGAAGUCAAG
This is a long non-coding RNA of Hypomesus transpacificus, 334 nucleotides long. RefSeq lists it as uncharacterized. The transcript is spliced from 3 exons. NCBI's taxonomy places the organism in Eukaryota, Metazoa, Chordata, Actinopteri, Osmeriformes, Osmeridae. The record is from RefSeq and is a predicted model, not a curated record.